GAAAUGCGAUACUUGGUGUGAAUUGCAGAAUCCCGUGAACCAUCGAGUCUUUGAACGCAAGUUGCGCCCGAGGCCAUCAGGUCGAGGGCACGUCUGCCUGGGCGUCACACGCCGUUGCCCCCCCAAACCCCUUUCCCGCUCCUAGCCGGGGCGAGCGGGGACCGCGGGGGGCGGAGGAUGACCUCCCGUGCGCGCGCUUCGACCCGCGGUUGGUCCAAAAAUCGAGUCCCCUGUCACGUCGUCUUGGCAACAGGUAGUCGAUCGUUCGGUGCCACGGCCGUGCGCGUCGUGCACGUAUCGGGACUCCGACAGACCCCAGUGCGCCCGUCGCGGGUGCCUCCAACGCGACCCCAGGUCAGGCGGGGCUACCCGCUGAGUUUAA
This 382-nucleotide unclassified non-coding RNA is filed under the name uncultured fungus. Its description in RNAcentral is "sequence contains ITS1". The stretch from base 1 to 107 matches the Rfam family "5.8S ribosomal RNA", at positions 50 to 154 of the family's 154-position model. The record is from RNAcentral. Lineage: Eukaryota; Fungi.